Molecule: long non-coding RNA, 1926 nt
Filed under: Amphibalanus amphitrite
Lineage: Eukaryota; Metazoa; Arthropoda; Thecostraca; Balanomorpha; Balanidae
Description: uncharacterized LOC122376272, transcript variant X2
Source: RNAcentral
UGCUCCCUCCCCUUGUGUACACAGAAGAUCCUCAGUCAUAGUUAACAAAAUGGAAAAAAAUUAGCUGUGUUUUUAAGAUUCCAGUGGUGGCCAUCAACUGCUCAGGAAAGCAGCCCAGAAUCACUUCACAACAGGUUUCCAAAGGAUCAUCAUUCAUCAGCACAGAAGGGUGGGAAAGAGAAGGCUGUUCAAAUUCUGAAAAGCCAGAGCUGCAAAGGAGGUCAAAGAUGCAGUGCAGUUGGCCCACUCAGUAGAGUUUCACUAGUGGUUCUGAUGUGGACUGAAGAUUACACGCUGGAUUGAAGUGGCCGGUCUGGAGCAGCUGUAGUUCAUCAUUCUUGCUGAUUGUGGACGAGUAAGAGCCCGCGUUGGCCCCGAUCGGCGAUCGCUGGCCAAAGCCUACCACCAGUUUGGUGAUAGGCGUUGGCUGUGAUAUCUAGUGUCGCCUAUGUGUGAAAAGGACAAGUUGAUAACAAAACCUGUUGCGCCAUGUUAUUAACCUGCGCCCGGGUGGCCCUCAGCCAACUUGGGGGGGGGGGGGGGUGUAUUCGGCCACACUAGGUUAUCUUGGAAUGUAGCAAAGCUGGAAAGACGCAGUAAAAUCAAUCUAUAGAUCGCUAUUUUUCUUCAGAAUCAUACAGGUCAUUUUUUAUCAGGUCAUCGCUGAGGUCACUGGAGGUCACCAAAAGUAAAAUGAUGACGAAUUUUGGCCCCCGAUUUUGACAACUUCACAAAUUGGUUCAUAAUUCGGGAACCAAAGAAGCUACAGCGCCGCGGAAAAGCGAAUUCGAUAGCUCUUUCGAAAAUCUUUCAGGUUCUCAGAUUUGAGCUAAGGUCAACUAGGGUUAAGCCUCCAAAGGGCAAAAACUGAACAAUCGGCUUGCUUCGGAAGUCGUCUUUUCUUUAAAGAAAUUUUAAACUGAUACCAACCUUUUAUUACGUUGAUUUUACCGGCACUGCGUUUCUCUCGUCUUCUUGGCCUAACAAGGUCAGCUUAAUAAAUUUGACCUCAGGUCAAUGUCACAGAAAAUGCCAUUUUGCAUGUCAUUGAUUCGUUACAUUGAAAUUGAGAUUAACAUCAGUAGCGGCGGAACACCUUCAAUCGAGGGGGCAUUGCCGACUUUUGGUCUCAUUCUUUCCAUGCAACGGCCAUAGGGCUAAUGUUAAAAUGCCAAAAUCAAAGGGGGCACGGUGCCCCGGUGCCCUCGGCCUGUUCCGCCGCCUAUGAUUAUGAUGCUUUUAGCGCUCUGGCCACGUUCCAUCUAAAAUCGAUGUACAAAAAUAAACUGUUGGGACUUGGGAGGCGUUACAUGACCUGAGAUGACCUCAGGAGCAUACGAUAGAUCCCGAUGUUUGAGUGCUUUUGUUUCAAAAGCAGAACAUUUCGUCUUUCGAGUUCCUCAUACUGACUGAAACUGGAGACGUCGCAAAGUUGACCUGACCCUAGGUCACCACCGAUAUCAAAAUUAAAGAUAUUCAAGAUGUUGGUACUGAUUCUCUCAUGCAAUAGCUCGAGUUUCAAACUUCUACUUCAUGGUGACCUGACCUGACCUUAGGUGACAUGGGGUUACUUUUUUCACAAUUGAUGCGAAUCGAUGCAUUAUACAUAAGCUAUACUAAGUUUCGUGUCGUUUUAUCUAUGCAAGCAAAAAAUUGUCAGGUGUGGCCAAAAACGCCCCCACGGCCCACCCACCUGGGGAACGUUAAAGCAGUGAUGUAUUUUUUUCGGUGUAUUCCACGAUGCAUCGAUCGGUGUACUUGAUAAUGUAUUAUUUAUUGCUGCGUGUGUACGCUUUUCCUCUGUUCAGUGUGAUCUGUGAUAGGAAAACUACCGAUAUAUCUCCACGCGCAUGACUGAAAGAGCUGGCGUGAUCUAUAAUAUUGGGUGUCUGUUUUUGUUUGGCAUUUUAUAAAUAAUAAGUCAGC